Molecule: small nuclear RNA, 289 nt
Filed under: Erinaceus europaeus (western European hedgehog)
Lineage: Eukaryota; Metazoa; Chordata; Mammalia; Eulipotyphla; Erinaceidae
Description: 7SK RNA
Rfam family: 7SK RNA
About the family: 7SK was discovered as an abundant small nuclear RNA in the mid-70s but a possible function has only recently been suggested. Two independent studies have found that 7SK RNA binds the CDK9/cyclin T complex (known as elongation factor P-TEFb). P-TEFb activates transcription by phosphorylating the C-terminal domain of RNA polymerase II.
Source: Rfam by way of RNAcentral
GGAUGUGAGGGAGAUCUGGCUGCGACAUCUGUCACCCCAUUGAUCGCCAGGGUUGAUUCAGCUGAUCUGGCUGGCUAGGCGGGUGUCCUCUUCCUCCCUCACCGCUACAUGUGCGUCCCUCCCGAAGCUACGCGCCUUCCCCGAAUAGAGAUGGACUGGUAUACGAGUAGCUGCGCUCCCCUGCUCGAACCUCCAACCAAGCUCUCAAGAAGGGUAUAAAAGGGAGGGGCUUGUAGAAGUCUUGGUCUUUUGGUCUUGGACUUUUGCCUUUUGAAACAGGUCCAGAGAC